AUCCUACGGGACGCAGCAGUGAGGAAUAUUGGUCAAUGGUCGGGAGACUGAACCAGCCAAGCCGCGUGAGGGAUGAAGGUACAGAGUAUCGUAAACCUCUUUUGUCAGGGAACAAAGGCGGGGACGUGUCCCCGGAUGAGUGUACCUGAAGAAAAAGCAUCGGCUAACUCCGUGCCAGCAGCCGCGGUAAUACGGAGGAUGCGAGCGUUAUCCGGAUUUAUUGGGUUUAAAGGGGGCGCAGGCGGGCUGUUACGUCAGCGGUCAAAGACCGGGGGUCAACACCGGCCCGCCGUUGA
This 296-nucleotide ribosomal RNA is filed under the name uncultured bacterium. RNAcentral describes it as "partial 16S ribosomal RNA". It matches the Rfam family "Bacterial small subunit ribosomal RNA", at positions 335 to 630 of the family's 1533-position model. The record is from RNAcentral.